This 615-nucleotide ribosomal RNA is filed under the name uncultured Massilia sp. RNAcentral's name for it is "bacterial SSU rRNA". It matches the Rfam family "Bacterial small subunit ribosomal RNA", at positions 64 to 674 of the family's 1533-position model. Lineage: Bacteria; Pseudomonadati; Pseudomonadota; Betaproteobacteria; Burkholderiales; Oxalobacteraceae. The record is from RNAcentral.
GAACGGCAGCGCGGGGCAACCUGGCGGCGAGUGGCGAACGGGUGAGUACUAUAUCGGAACGUACCCUGGAGUGGGGGAUAACGUAGCGAAAGUUACGCUAAUACCGCAUACGAUCUAAGGAUGAAAGUGGGGGCUUCGCAAGAACCUCAUGCUCCUGGAGCGGCCGAUAUCUGAUUAGCUAGUUGGUAGGGUAAAAGCCUACCAAGGCUUCGAUCAGUAGCUGGUCUGAGAGGACGACCAGCCACACUGGAACUGAGACACGGUCCAGACUCCUACGGGAGGCAGCAGUGGGGAAUUUUGGACAAUGGGCGCAAGCCUGAUCCAGCAAUGCCGCGUGAGUGAAGAAGGCCUUCGGGUUGUAAAGCUCUUUUGUCAGGGAAGAAACGGUGAGAGCUAAUAUCUCUUGCUAAUGACGGUACCUGAAGAAUAAGCACCGGCUAACUACGUGCCAGCAGCCGCGGUAAUACGUAGGGUGCAAGCGUUAAUCGGAAUUACUGGGCGUAAAGCGUGCGCAGGCGGUUUUGUAAGUUUGUCGUGAAAGCCCCGGGCUCAACCUGGGAAUUGCGAUGAAGACUGCAAGGCUUGAAUCUGGCAGAGGGGGGUAGAAUUCCACGU